This 240-nucleotide ribosomal RNA is filed under the name uncultured Vibrio sp. RNAcentral describes it as "partial 16S ribosomal RNA". It matches the Rfam family "Bacterial small subunit ribosomal RNA", at positions 173 to 420 of the family's 1533-position model. The record is from RNAcentral. Lineage: Bacteria; Pseudomonadati; Pseudomonadota; Gammaproteobacteria; Vibrionales; Vibrionaceae.
CUCGCAAGAGCAAAGCAGGGGACCUUCGGGCCUUGCGCUACCGGAUACGCCCAGGUGGGAUUAGCUAGUUGGUGAGGUAAGGGCUCACCAAGGCGACGAUCCCUAGCUGGUCUGAGAGGAUGAUCAGCCACACUGGAACUGAGACACGGUCCAGACUCCUACGGGAGGCAGCAGUGGGGAAUAUUGCACAAUGGGCGCAAGCCUGAUGCAGCCAUGCCGCGUGUAUGAAGAAGGCCUCGG